GUUAUGUUGUUGUAGAGGAAACGCACCCCACUGUGUUUAUGAUUACAAUAAUGAGUUAAAAUAAUAUGAUGAUGACAAGUUUGCACUAUCAAGCAGCAUAACGGACUUGGAAGCAGAUGAGACCGUCACCGGAAGCCUCGACACAAUCAAAUUACAAUGGAUGUUUAUGGAAUGGAAAGUGCAGCUCUGCUCUCAAAGUGAAUUGAAGUCUUCUCCGUACGCUGUUCACCUGAAUAAAAUGAUAUGGAGUUUCAGACUGAUGAUGACAGCUUGGACAGGUAGUCCUCGAGGACGAUUUACAGAACAAUGCAAUUUUGGAUUGGUUGGUGCGAAGUGGUGUUGGAGGAGGUGAGGGACACCGGAAGAACUGUAAUGAGGACCCUCCGUGAACCUCCACUGGUAUGAACAGAGAGGCCUAAAUGGCUUGAGGAAGGAGGGAAUUUCUCCAGAGAAAUGUGCUUUUUCCAGAGCAGUCCACUGAGAUGGAAGAUGUGGGUGGAUGGCUGGCCAGCACUACGACUGUUUGAUGUGGGAGGUCUUAACUUCACCCCGCUGGGUCGGACCCCAAGACUUCUCAUUAACCGUGUCAUCAAAGGCCCCGGCCCAAGUAAUCAUAACAUUAGCGUUGACAUUACCACACAGCUACAAGCUUCUUUCGAGCGCUCCACAAACAUGCCUGCGCCGGCUGAGUCAUUCCUCCGCAGCGAGGGAGCUUGGGCUGAAGCAAACUACGCUAGCCUGUACCCUGCACGCUUCAGCGAGAAUACAAACACUGACAUGACUGUGGACAAGCACGUAGCACCGUUUUCUCAAAGCGCUAAGGUAGGCGAGUACCUCUCUUUGCACUGCCCUUAAUUAAAGCAACAGUCAUUGCGAAAAGGCCCUCGGCGAGAUCAGCUGUCAGGACUGCUCGGACAGCUCUGGGCUCCUCACCUCCACCUCC
Molecule: long non-coding RNA, 943 nt
Organism: Pimephales promelas (fathead minnow)
Lineage: Eukaryota; Metazoa; Chordata; Actinopteri; Cypriniformes; Leuciscidae
Source: RefSeq, a predicted model, not a curated record